AGUGAACGCUGGCGGUAGGCCUAACACAUGCAGGUCGAACGGCAGCACAGUAAGAGCUUGCUCUUACGGGUGGCGAGUGGCGGACGGGUGAGGAAUACAUCGGAAUCUACUUUUUCGUGGGGGAUAACGUAGGGAAACUUACGCUAAUACCGCAUACGACCUACGGGUGAAAGCAGGGGAUCUUCGGACCUUGCGCGAUUGAAUGAGCCGAUGUCGGAUUAGCUAGUUGGCGGGGUAAAGGCCCACCAAGGCGACGAUCCGUAGCUGGGCUGAGAGGAUGAUCAGCCCCCCUGGAGCUGAGACACGGUCCAGACCCCUACGGGAGGCAGCAGUGGGGAAUAUUGGACAAUGGGCGCAAGCCUGAUCCAGCCAUACCGCGUGGGUGAAGAAGGCCUUCGGGUUGUAAAGCCCUUUUGUUGGGAAAGAAAAGCAGCAGGUUAAUACCCCGCUGUUCUGACGGUACCAAAAGAAUAAGCACCGGCUAACUUCGU
Molecule: ribosomal RNA, 491 nt
Filed under: uncultured bacterium
Lineage: Bacteria
Description: partial 16S ribosomal RNA
Rfam family: Bacterial small subunit ribosomal RNA
Source: RNAcentral